GACGAACGCUGGCGGCGUGCUUAACACAUGCAAGUCGAACGGAAAGGCCCUGCUUGCAGGGUACUCGAGUGGCGAACGGGUGAGUAACACGUGGGUGAUCUGCCCUGCACUUCGGGAUAAGCCUGGGAAACUGGGUCUAAUACCGGAUAGGAGCCAUUUUUAGUGUGAUGGUUGGAAAGUUUUUUCGGUGUAGGAUGAGCUCGCGGCCUAUCAGCUUGUUGGUGGGGUAAUGGCCUACCAAGGCGGCGACGGGUAGCCGGCCUGAGAGGGUGGACGGCCACAUUGGGACUGGGAUUCGGCCCAGACUCCUACGGGAGGCAGCAGUGGGGAAUAUUGCACAAUGGGCGCAAGCCUGAUGCAGCGACGCCGCGGGGGGGAUGACGGCCUUCGGGUUGUAAACUCCUUUCGCUAGGGACGAAGCUUUUUGUGACGGUACCUAGAUAAGAAGCACCGGCUAACUACGUG
RNAcentral lists this ribosomal RNA (465 nucleotides) under uncultured bacterium. Its description in RNAcentral is "partial 16S ribosomal RNA". It matches the Rfam family "Bacterial small subunit ribosomal RNA", at positions 28 to 507 of the family's 1533-position model. The record is from RNAcentral.